CGGCGCUUGAGGCUUUUUGCCUCAUGAUGUUCAGGUGGUUUGUUGCCAUGUUGUGAGGCAGAAAGAAGAAAGCCCCGAAGGUAAUUUUUCAAUUAACCAACAGGGCCAACUCUAUGUCUCGACAACAUCAGAGUAGCCGUUUACCCGCCGUAAGGCAAGGAGAAGAAGGCUAUG
RNAcentral lists this antisense RNA (174 nucleotides) under Grimontella sp. AG753. Its description in RNAcentral is "sok antitoxin". It matches the Rfam family "sok antitoxin (CssrC)". From Rfam's summary of the family: Also identified in Shigella as CssrC. Lineage: Bacteria; Pseudomonadati; Pseudomonadota; Gammaproteobacteria; Enterobacterales. The record is from RNAcentral.